Molecule: ribosomal RNA, 462 nt
Filed under: uncultured bacterium
Lineage: Bacteria
Description: partial 16S ribosomal RNA
Rfam family: Bacterial small subunit ribosomal RNA
Source: RNAcentral
GACGAACGCUGGCGGCGUGCUUAACACAUGCAAGUCGAACGGAAAGGCCUUUUCGGAGGUACUCGAGUGGCGAACGGGUGAGUAACACGUGGGUGAUCUGCCCUGCACUCUGGGAUAAGCCUGGGAAACUGGGUCUAAUACCGGAUAGGACCGCACUUUAGUGUGUGUGGUGGAAAGUUUUUUCGGUGUAGGAUGAGCCCGCGGCCUAUCAGCUUGUUGGUGGGGUAAUGGCCCACCAAGGCGGCGACGGGUAGCCGGACUGAGAGGUUGGUCGGCCACAUUGGGACUGGGAUACGGCCCAGCCUCCUCCGGGGGGCAGCAGGGGGGAAUAUUGCAAAAUGGGCGCAAGCCUGAUGCAGGGGCGCCGCGUGGGGGAUGACGGCCUUCGGGUUUUAACCUCCUUUCGCCAGGGACGAAGCGUUUUGGGGGGGGACCUGGAGAAGAAGCCCCGGCAAACUACGU